Non-coding RNA from Leptonychotes weddellii (Weddell seal), 2544 nucleotides. NCBI's taxonomy places the organism in Eukaryota, Metazoa, Chordata, Mammalia, Carnivora, Phocidae. The record is from RefSeq and is a predicted model, not a curated record.
UCACGUUUUAAUAUCAAUAUUAACACAAUGUGUAGUCUAAAACUAGUUCCUUUGUAGUUUGCAUGGGAUGUGAAUGCUGUCUCAACGUGCCCAGAUCUAGACAAGACUGCAUGAGCACCAAUUCAGAUGUGAAAACCAAUCUCUCUCUCUCUUUUCCUCUCUCUCUUCCACAUAUAUCUCUAUUUCUCUUGUGAUAAUUUGGUGGGCAGUAAAGCACCUCCGGUUGGUUGCUGUAGUGUGUUGAAUGAUUGUUUUUUUAUUCUAUUUUCGGAGCUCCGAGCUUCUUAGUCGUAGCCUGGGCUGAGUAUUCUUGAGUCCCUGCUGAUGUUUUCGCAUGGCCUUGGUUGAGUGUUAGAAGUUGGGCCUCAGCUGUUUUUCUCGAGUGUUUGGCUUGUAAUGACCGGUGCAUGCCUGGCUUCUGGCCUCAUACCCAGCUCUAUUCUCUGCACACCAGUCCUGAAUAGCUACAGUGCUCAACCGAAUUUUGGCGCGCCCGCUUCCCCGGCAGGCUCCAACCCCGCGCGGCCCGGAGGCUUCCCGGGGGCCAACAGCCCAGGACCUGUCGCCGAUCUGUACGGCCCUGCCAGCCAGGACUCCGGAGUGGGGAAUUACAUAAGUGCGGCCAGCCCACAGCCGGGCUCAGGCUUCGGCCACGGCAUAGCUGGACCUUUGAUUGCAACGGCCUUUACAAAUGGAUACCAUUGAGCAGGUGCUUCUGUUGCCACCCCACUCUGAGAGCAUACCUGGAUGUCCAGGCAAGACUGGGCGAAGUUUCUGAGUGGCCCUUUGUUUAGGUGAUGUCAUCAGACCUGGACCCCCACCAGCCUCACUCCCCAUCCCAACCAGAGAUGGCUCACUUCGGAUCGAGGGUUGACUACAUCUCAUCAUCUCACGAAUCUGCUGUAAUAUAAGACAACAGCUUUUAAAUGUGUAUAUAACCCAUGAUUUUUGGUUUGGUUUUGUUUUGUUUUUCUUGAUGGUUUCCCUUCCUCUUCUCUCUUCCCCCCCUUCUCCUUUUAAAUCUCUUUGAAUCACAUUUGGUAGUGAUUUUGACUUAGUCCGGUAGUCAUAUAGCUUUAAUAUCUAGUUAAAAGCUAACCAUAGUAUAAUUGUUAUAUUAAGGUAUUAUUUUUCUCUUAAAAAGAUUUUUUUUUUGCUUGUUUUGAUUCUGUUCUCACUUUUAAAGGAUGCUGAGAUGGUAAUAUUCCUCAAUAUUUUGGUACCAAUUCUGAGACUGUAUGGCUUUUCCAGUGGAGCACAUUGUGCGUCUGUGGAAGCAAAGUUGUGAAGUGUGGAGCGGGAGGUGGGCAUAAACUUUCUCCUUUGCGUCGUAUAAGUGAGAUGUAGUAAGCUAAUUAACAGACUCUAUAGCGGUUCUUUUUUGUGACGUCUCUUUGUUAAUCUAAGUAUAUCUAUUUUCGGCAAUAAGGUAAGGACGACCAUGUUUUGAGUGUCCUCCUUUUCUAUAAGUGCUUUUUUUCUGUUGAAAGAGGUGAUAUUAUAAGGUUUUUUGAAAUUGUGAAUUCUAAAAAAAAAAGAAGCGUUGUAAAUACAAUUCCAUUAACUACAUAGAAACUAUUAAGAAAGAGAGAAUCAAAAAUAUUUUUGUGAGGGAGUCGGUCCCAGGCAGUUCGAUGCUCUGUGGAAGGAGGAGGAGGGGAAGGCAUGAUAACCAAGUCGGUUCCCAGGCGGAAGGACACCCCCCCCCGCCCCCGCUGCCAGGACGACCCCCCGGGAAAAGUUAGAACACUGUUUAGCUCCUUCUGUCUGUGUGAUAGACCUAAGAACUGUAUUAGCGUCAUACCAGCAUAUUAACCUCUCGUCUGUGCACAGCUUCAAAUGUUACCGUCUAGUUAGAUUUUUAUUUAAAAUAUGAAAAACUGCUUUUCCCAAGACGUUUUUUAAAAACAAAGCUACGAUUUUAAUAUUUAACAUAUUUAAAGUUUCAAAGCACACCUGUUUGGCUUGGGUGGGGAGGGGGUGGGGGGACAUUCUUUUUCAGUCUUAAUUUUUGAAUAUUUGAUCAUUUUCUAUUGUCCAACCAUUUCAGCACCUCCAAAGGUCCCUAGGACACUCUGCCUCUCUUUGCUCCCCUGCUCCCCCACCGGCUCCCCCCAGCUCCGGCCAGGGGCGGAGAAGCCUGCAUUAAUGAAAACUUUUCUCCAUUCACUUCCUAUUUACAAAUUAGGAGAGCAACCUUUUGGUUUAUAUAUUUUUUUUAAUACCUCAGUGCUGCAAGUAUCACCAGAGAGGCUAUGGAAGAAUUUUUUUUUUUAAUUUAUUGUAGAUGUAAACAGAAUUUUAAAAAUAAAAAAAGUAUAAACAUCGCUGCACUGUGACUGGUGGGAAAAACUGACAGUUUCCUGUUUGCACAUGUUUAACAUUUGGCUGUUAUAAUAUAUGGUCCUCAGUUGGGGAAAGAUACUUAUGAUGAAGGAUAUUUUUUAAUUUAACUUUUUUUUAAUAUUGGUAAUAGGUCGGCAACAGCAACUAUAGAAGUACAACUCAAUAGAUGGCAUUAAAACAUAUUGUAGUGUGGAUAUA